CAACCUGGUUGAUCCUGCCAGUUAGUGAUAUGCUUGUCUCAAAGAUUAAGCCAUGCACGUGUCAGUAUAAGCUUUUAUACGGUGAAACUGCGAAUGGCUCAUUAAAUCAGUUAUAGUUUAUUUGAUGGUUUUCUACUUGGAUAACCCGAGUAAUUCUCUGGCUAAUAUAUGCUGAAGACCCUUUACUGGGUUG
This 193-nucleotide ribosomal RNA is filed under the name uncultured eukaryote. RNAcentral describes it as "partial 18S ribosomal RNA". It matches the Rfam family "Eukaryotic small subunit ribosomal RNA", at positions 1 to 197 of the family's 1831-position model. The record is from RNAcentral.